RNAcentral lists this long non-coding RNA (2802 nucleotides) under Nicotiana benthamiana. Its description in RNAcentral is "long non-coding RNA (NBEN_LNC011002)". The record is from RNAcentral. Lineage: Eukaryota; Viridiplantae; Streptophyta; Magnoliopsida; Solanales; Solanaceae.
UCUCUAUUGCUAUUGUUCUUGUUCUAUUGUUCUUGUCUUUUGCUUUAGUUUAUAACAAAUAGAAAGUUUUCUUAUUUUGCUAAUGUCUUCUUGUAAGUUACACAUGAUCAAAGACUGAACAGCAGUUACUUCGAAGGAAAGAACUGAAAUCCAGCUUUUAUUGUUCUUGUUCUAUUUUUGGCCCAUGAAGUUUUGGUUCUUCAACUGUGCCCCCAUUAGUUUCAGCAACUUGUUUUUGAGGAGGCCCGUAAUUGGAGCACGCACAAUAACCAAGUGAACAAUGAUAAAUAGGGGAUACACCACAAGUCUCCUUACAAUCUGCAUCUGUCUUGCAACAACAAUAGCUCACAUUCCUUGCUUCAAUUUCAAUCUUUGGCGAAACACCUGCCAAUUUUUAAAAUUUAUAAUUAUAAUUGAUGACAUUAAGGCUUUACCAUAAUGAGCAAUGUAUGUCUAAUAUAUACAUGCAAAAAUUUCUUUUUCAUAUACCACAAAACCUUUAUCUAUGAUAAUUCACAAAAAAAAAGUUUGAUAUGACAGGAAUUACCAAUAAAUAAUAAAUAAUAUAUGGGGUAUGUAUAGUCGAUUUGACCAAGUUUCUUCCAAGUGCUUUUUCUCCCCAAAAAGUACUUUCCAACUUGAGGUGUAGUCUGUUUGGCCUAGCAUCUUCAAGCCAAAAGUAAUUUUUUUUCCUGAAAGAAAAUACUUUUUUUCUAAAAAAAAUGAAGUGUUUCGUCAAACUUUUAGAAGAAAAAAGAAAGUGUUUUAGAGGAGAAAGAAAAGUAAUUUUGGAGAAGCAGAAAAAGUUGCCUUUCUCCAAAAGUAUUUUUUGAAAAAUAUUUUUGAGAAAAAUACACUUAGAAGCAGUUUUUAUCAACUUGAUCAAACAUUAAUUGUUGCUCAGAUUUUCAAAUUAAUUAGCCAAACACAAAUUAUUUCUCAUCAAAAGUACUUUUGAAAAAAGUAAUUUUGAGAAAAGAUAAUUAUCAAAAUAAGCUGAUUUUUACAGCUUGGCCAAAUAGGCUUGUGGUUAGACAAGUUUUUUUUGAGGGAAGGGGGGUGGGGGGAUUGAGUAAAAGUGCUUUUGGGAAGAAGCAGAAAAAAUAACUUCACCUAGAGCAGAAGCUAUUAUAUAUAUAUAUAUAUAGAUACAAUUCAAGAAGAAUUGAUUCCAUAUGAAAGACAUGUAGUUUUGAACCUAUAGUUCAAAUGCUUGAAUGUUCUUUUCUUGAUAAGUAUUAAUCGUUAUAUAUAUAUAUAUAUAUAUAUAUAUAUAUAUAUAUAUUUGACUUAUGAGGUGAAUAUUUUUGUAUUUGUUAAAUUAUUUUAAAAGAAUUAAAGUACUUUUCACUUCUUCUUUUUUGUUUAAAUAAAAUAAAUUAUUAUCUUUCAGUUGGUGCAAUUUAUAUACAAGGAAGUCAUUCAUUUACUACUUUUCCCCACUAUGCAUGUCUCAAUCCACUAAAAAAGAUGAUAAAAUAAAGGUAAAAUAUAUACUUUACCAAUUGAACUUAUUUCCAAAUUUUUCUUAUGCUUUUUUUAAAUACGAAAAUAAUAUUAUGCAAUAAAAUUUAUAAAUGUAUAUCAAUUAUACACUAUUUUGGUGUUUGACCAUAUUUACUAAAAGAUUACUAUUACACACCAAUCAUCAUCUAAUACGUGCCAAAUCAAAAAAAAAAAAAAAAAAAUAAAAAAAAAANNNNNNNNNNNNNNNNNNNNNNNNNNNNNAAAAAAAAAAAAAAAAAAAAACUAAAAAAGAAACUCUGCAACCCCCCUCCCCCUCUUAUCAUCUUCUCAAAGAAAAAAAAAAUACAGAAAAGAAUCUCCCCUCCCCUCCCCUCUUCAUUUUCUCCAUCCCCAACAUAUUAUCACCAAUCCUUCCACUACAAGAACUUCUUCCGUAGCUAUAGAUUUAAUUCUUUGCCGAUUUUUAACAAUAUUUAUCACAAAUCCUUAUACAAAUUUCAAAUUCAAACUUACACCCAAAAUUUCAAACUUGUUAAUGGUGUAUUUUAAAUUUUAUCAAAACUAAUUACUUAAGUAAAGUUUUACUCAACAAUAAUUACGAAUUCAAAUUAAUUUUUAGGUCAUAGAACACCCAAAUCAACAAGACCUGAUUAAAUUCUCAAGCUUUUUUAAAAAGUCAAUAAUGAUAAUUAUUACAAUAUCGAAUAGCUCCUACAUUCUUCUUUUCUUCUUUUCCUCUUAGUCAUGGAGUUGGAGAGACGAAAUAUUAGGUGGUAGAUAAAACUAGGAUGAGGAUUAGGGACGAAGACGAACCAGAGGGUGGNNNNNNNNNNNNNNNNNNNNNNNNNNNNNNNNNNNNNNNNNNNNNNNNNNNNNNNNNNNNNNNNNNNNNNGGUGGGGGGUGGGGGGAGGGGGGAGAAAAUGCUGGAUUUUGAGAUUAGGGAAGAAGACAUGGGUUAUAUAUAUUUUUUUAAUUUAAAGAAAAUAAUUUAAAAAGGGAAAAAUUUAAAAAAAAAACUUAAUUUCAGGUGAAUGUUUUAGUUGUCACGCGCCUUUUCUAUGUGUAAUAUACGUGUGCGACACAUGGCAAAAGAGAUGUGUAAUUAAUAUACUUUUAAAAGUUUUAGUAUAUAAUAGUAUUCCCAUGUUUAACAAGAGUAUAAGAGAUAUUUGAGUAUAAAAUCGAUGGAUAAAGUAUAAAUUUUUGGAAAAUAAUGUACAAUUUAAAGAGGAAAAGACUUACAAAGUCCGAUCACCAUGAAGGUAAGAAGAAAAGUCAUCACUUUGUAAACCAUAUCUAAACAACUGGUCUACCGUUAGACAAUUAAGUUACUU